AUGAACGCUGGCGGCGUGCCUAAUCCAUGCAAGUCGAGCGAACAGACGAGGAGCUUGCUCCUCUGACGUUAGCGGCGGACGGGUGAGUAACACGUGGAUAACCUACCUAUAAGACUGGGAUAACUUCGGGAAACCGGAGCUAAUACCGGAUAAUAUAUUGAACCGCAUGGUUCAAUAGUGAAAGACGGUUUUGCUGUCACUUAUAGAUGGAUCCGCGCCGCAUUAGCUAGUUGGUAAGGUAACGGCUUACCAAGGCAACGAUGCGUAGCCGACCUGAGAGGGUGAUCGGCCACACUGGAACUGAGACACGGUCCAGACUCCUACGGGAGGCAGCAGUAGGGAAUCUUCCGCAUUGGGCGAAAGCUUGACGGAGCAACGCCGCGUGAGUGAUGAAGGUCUUCGGAUCGUAAAACUCUGUUAUUAGGGAAGAACAAAUGUGUAAGUAACUAUGCACGUCUUGACGGUACCUAAUCAGAAAGCCACGGCUAACUACGUG
This 496-nucleotide ribosomal RNA is filed under the name uncultured bacterium. RNAcentral describes it as "partial 16S ribosomal RNA". It matches the Rfam family "Bacterial small subunit ribosomal RNA", at positions 29 to 507 of the family's 1533-position model. The record is from RNAcentral.